AGAGUUUGAUCCUGGCUCAGGACGAACGCUGGCGGCGUGCCUAAUACAUGCAAGUCGAGCGAGGUAGAGAGAGCUUGCUCUUUCUACCUAGCGGCGGACGGGUGAGUAACACGUAGGCAACCUGCCUGUAAGCCUGGGAUAACUCCGGGAAACCGGAGCUAAUACCAGAUAACCCGUUAGACCGCAUGGUCUAGCGAUAA
RNAcentral lists this ribosomal RNA (200 nucleotides) under uncultured bacterium. RNAcentral's name for it is "partial 16S ribosomal RNA". It matches the Rfam family "Bacterial small subunit ribosomal RNA", at positions 8 to 204 of the family's 1533-position model. The record is from RNAcentral.